AUCCUACGGGAGGCAGCAGUGGGGAAUAUUGCACAAUGGGCGCAAGCCUGAUGCAGCCAUGCCGCGUGUAUGAAGAAGGCCUUCGGGUUGUAAAGUACUUUCAGCAGUGAGGAAGGUGGGUAUGUUAAUAGCAUACUCAUUUGACGUUAGCUGCAGAAGAAGCACCGGCUAACUCCGUGCCAGCAGCCGCGGUAAUACGGAGGGUGCGAGCGUUAAUCGGAAUUACUGGGCGUAAAGCGCAUGCAGGUGGUUUGUUAAGUCAGAUGUGAAAGCCCGGGGCUCAACCUCGGAAUUGCAUUUGAAACUGGCAAACUAGAGUACUGUAGAGGGGGGUAGAAUUUCAGGUGUAGCGGUGAAAUGCGUAGAGAUCUGAAGGAAUACCGGUGGCGAAGGCGGCCCCCUGGACAGAUACUGACACUCAGAUGCGAAAGCGUGGGGAGCAAACAGGAUUAGAUACCCUGGUAG
RNAcentral lists this ribosomal RNA (465 nucleotides) under uncultured bacterium. Its description in RNAcentral is "bacterial SSU rRNA". It matches the Rfam family "Bacterial small subunit ribosomal RNA", at positions 335 to 793 of the family's 1533-position model. The record is from RNAcentral.